Molecule: ribosomal RNA, 253 nt
Filed under: uncultured bacterium
Lineage: Bacteria
Description: partial 16S ribosomal RNA
Rfam family: Bacterial small subunit ribosomal RNA
Source: RNAcentral
UACAGAGGUGGCAAGCGUUGUUCGGAUUCAUUGGGCGUAAAGGGUGCGUAGGUGGCGGGGUAAGUCAGGUGUGAAAUCUCGGGGCUCAACCCCGAAACUGCACUUGAUACUGCCUUGCUCGAGUACUGGAGAGGAGAUUGGAAUUUACGGUGUAGCAGUGAAAUGCGUAGAUAUCGUAAGGAAGACCAGUGGCGAAGGCGAAUCUCUGGACAGUUACUGACACUGAGGCACGAAGGCCAGGGGAGCAAACGGG